AUGAACGCUGGCGGCGUGCCUAAUACAUGCAAGUCGAGCGAACGGACGAGAAGCUUGCUUCUCUGAUGUUAGCGGCGGACGGGUGAGUAACACGUGGAUAACCUACCUAUAAGACUGGGAUAACUUCGGGAAACCGGAGCUAAUACCGGAUGAUAUUUUGAACCGCAUGGUUCAAAAGUGAAAGACGGUCUUGCUGGCACGUAUAGAUGGAUCCGCGCUGCAUUAGCUAGUUGGUAAGGUAACGGCUUACCAAGGCAACGAUGCAUAGCCGACCUGAGAGGGUGAUCGGCCACACUGGAACUGAGACACGGUCCAGACUCCUACGGGAGGCAGCAGUAGGGAAUCUUCCGCAAUGGGCGAAAGCCUGACGGAGCAACGCCGAGUGAGUGAUGAAGGUCUUCGGAUCGUAAAACUCUGUUAUUAGGGAAGAACAUAUGUGUAAGUAACUGUGCACAUCUUGACGGUACCUAAUCAGAAGGCCACGGCUAACUACGUG
This 496-nucleotide ribosomal RNA is filed under the name uncultured bacterium. Its description in RNAcentral is "partial 16S ribosomal RNA". It matches the Rfam family "Bacterial small subunit ribosomal RNA", at positions 29 to 507 of the family's 1533-position model. The record is from RNAcentral.